GCUGGGCGUGGUGUGCACACCUGUAAUCCCAGCAGCAUGGGAGGUUGAGGCAGGAGGAUCUGGUGUUCAAAGCCAGCCUCAGCAAUGAGGAGACACUAAGUAACUCAGUGAGACCCUGUCUCUA
RNAcentral lists this small RNA (124 nucleotides) under Marmota monax (woodchuck). Lineage: Eukaryota; Metazoa; Chordata; Mammalia; Rodentia; Sciuridae. The record is from RNAcentral.